RNAcentral lists this transfer RNA (77 nucleotides) under Caudoviricetes sp. Its description in RNAcentral is "tRNA-Pro". It matches the Rfam family "tRNA". From Rfam's summary of the family: Transfer RNA (tRNA) molecules are approximately 80 nucleotides in length. Their secondary structure includes four short double-helical elements and three loops (D, anti-codon, and T loops). Further hydrogen bonds mediate the characteristic L-shaped molecular structure. tRNAs have two regions of fundamental functional importance: the anti-codon, which is responsible for specific mRNA codon recognition, and the 3' end, to which the tRNAs corresponding amino acid is attached (by aminoacyl-tRNA synthetases). tRNAs cope with the degeneracy of the genetic code in two manners: having more than one tRNA (with a specific anti-codon) for a particular amino acid; and 'wobble' base-pairing, i.e. permitting non-standard base-pairing at the 3rd anti-codon position. The record is from RNAcentral. Lineage: Duplodnaviria; Heunggongvirae; Uroviricota; Caudoviricetes.
CGGGGCGUGGCGCAGUUUGGUAGCGCGUGUGGUUUGGGACCAUAAGGUCGGAAGUUCAAAUCUUCUCACCCCGACCA